UACGUAGGGUGCAGGCGUUAAUCGGAAUUACUGGGCGUAAAGCGUGCGCAGGCGGUUUGCUAAGACAGGUGUGAAAUCCCCCGGGCUUAACCUGGGAACUGCGCUUGUAACUGGCAAGCUUGAGUGUGGCAGAGGGGGGGUGGAAUUCCACGUGUAGCAGUGAAAUGCGUAGAUAUCUGGAAGAACACCGGUGGCGCAAGCGGAUUGCUGGGCCAUAACCGACACUGAGGAACGAAAGCUAGGGGAGCGAAUGGG
This 255-nucleotide ribosomal RNA is filed under the name uncultured bacterium. RNAcentral's name for it is "partial 16S ribosomal RNA". It matches the Rfam family "Bacterial small subunit ribosomal RNA", at positions 524 to 776 of the family's 1533-position model. The record is from RNAcentral.